Long non-coding RNA from Lynx canadensis (Canada lynx), 1880 nucleotides. RefSeq lists it as uncharacterized. The transcript is spliced from 3 exons. The record is from RefSeq and is a predicted model, not a curated record. NCBI's taxonomy places the organism in Eukaryota, Metazoa, Chordata, Mammalia, Carnivora, Felidae.
ACAAAAAUUAAAAAAAAAAAAAAAAGGUAGAGGCAGCCAGGUCACAAUGGAACUUGAUUGUAUCUUGAAACUAUGCAAUAGCCAUUCCUGUCCCAGACCCUCUCUCCUUCUCCGCCUUCUCGCCCUCCCUGGGUGAUGUCAUCACCCCUGUAUCUUUACUUAAACUAAGUGACACUUAAACUGAAUGACUGGUCCCCGGUCCUGCUCGUGAGCUUCUGACGAGGUCCUCACUUCCUGUUAGGUCCCCAGGCUGCCAAAUGGAACGGGCCCUGACAGAACCCUCGCCUUCACACCCACCCACCCACACCCGCUCUUCCUGGGCUCCUCAGGGCCUGUCGCUGCCUUCCCAGCCCCUCCCACCAGAGCAGCAUCAGGGCCCCCGGGGUCAUGUUUCUGGUCACAGCCAUUGUGACCACCUAGUGUCACCUGCAUCAUUGCCUGCCAAGUCUCCCCUGCUCACUCCAGUCUCCUGACCCCUGAUCCAUUGUCUACACUGCAGGCAGGAUCAUCUUUCACAAAUGCAGAUUUAUUCCUCUCUUUGAUAUUCCUCCAUUUAUUAUUCCAAAGAGAAACCCAAUUUCCUUAACACUUGACGCUCUGGUCUGAUUCCUCCUCUCCCUUGAGGGACACUCCCCCCCUCCAAGGUCCCCCGACCUUGGGACUGAGCUGAGUGCCCAUGCGGUGCCCACGCACGCCGUUGCCCUGUAGAGCCACGUGUUUCACGAUGCAUCGAGAUGGCCUGUUUACCGCGUGGCUUACCCACACACGCAGGUGCAAUGGAGCAUCUGUCUCCCUCUUCCUCCUCAAUCAAAUUGGACUCCAAGCCUCCAUCGUACCCAGGGAAGCAGGAAAGUUCAUGACUUUCAUUCUCAGGCCUCCUGAUGCUUCCCGUCCUGGUCCAGUGCCCUAACCAGAGUGAAAUAUUACAGGCAGUCCCAUCAGAGGGACACCGUAACUCCGGACGCCCUUGCCCCACCCACUCCACUCUUGGCCGUACCCGGACACUGGCAUCCCAGCCCAGACUGGAGCCCUGGUGCCCAAGCCGCCCCCAGGAGGAGUCUCUCCAUCCCCGGAGCAGUCUCAGGGACUGUUCCCAACCAAGGACCUCCAAGAUCUAUCUUCCCAGUGAAUUCAGAACACAAGGAGGGGAUGGCUUCCGGGGAAUUUCUGCCCCAUACACCUGCCCUGGGGAAGACUCUUGGAACCAGAGAGGGGAACAUAUAAAGAGCCCAACACGGGUCGGUGUCCCUGAAAGUUAUUCUGGACUUGCUCCCCUUCACUCAGCAGGGACCUCUAAGACAGGACCAUGUCCCUCUCUGGCGGCCUGGCACAGUGCCUGGUAAUCAGAAGAAGACCAGUGAGGAAGCAAGCAUCACUCCAGACCUACCAGAUGUGCAAAGAUGAAGAGGUCUGAUGGGGCCGAGUGUCUUCAAGGACGUGGAGAAUCAGGGGCGCGGAGACACUGUGGUGGGGUCGUAAGUCAGGUCAUCCACUUUGGGGAGCAGAUGAAAAUACCAAGUAAAGUUAAAAAAUGCCCAUUUCUUUCACCCUGAAAUCCUACUUACAGCAUAAAUCUGGAGAAACGUCUGCUCAGGGGAUUGUGAACACACAGAUGUUCAUUGCAUCAUUGUUUAUGACAGCAAAGAACCUGGACACCCAUCGACAGGUAAAAAGAUUUCUCACCACUUUUCCUGACAAUGCCAUCCCCAUGUCUGAUGACAGCUCAGACCUGCUGGUGGUGUCAUAUGGCUAGUGACAGCCACACCUAAGAAACAAACAAAAAUUACAUCUACAAUUUCCAAAUGUCAACCAAUGCUUUAGAGAUUACUGGACCGAAUGGAUGAAUGAUGGAGAGACAGAGCAUGAACAGGGGAGGGACA